RNAcentral lists this ribosomal RNA (254 nucleotides) under uncultured bacterium. Its description in RNAcentral is "partial 16S ribosomal RNA". It matches the Rfam family "Bacterial small subunit ribosomal RNA", at positions 524 to 776 of the family's 1533-position model. The record is from RNAcentral.
UACAGAGGGGGCCAGCGUUAUUCGGAAUUAUUGGGCGUAAAGGGCGCGUAGGCGGCCAUGCGUGUCUUCCGUGAAAUCCCUCGGCUUAACCGGGGAACUGCGUCUGAUACUGGAUGGCUUGAGUUUGGGAGAGGGAUGCGGAAUUCCAGGUGUAGCGGUGAAAUGCGUAGAUAUCUGGAGGAACACCGGUGGCGAAGGCGGCAUCCUGGACCAACACUGACGCUGAGUGAGCGAAAGCCAGGGGAGCAAACGGG